GAUGAACGCUGGCGGCGUGCUUAACACAUGCAAGUCGAACGGAAAGGCCCUGCUUGCAGGGUACUCGUGUGGCGAACGGGUGAGUAACACGUGGGUGAUCUGCCCUGUACUUUGGGAUAAGCCUGGGACACUGGGUCUAAUACCGAAUAUCACAAUUGUUUGGAUUCGCUUGUGGCAAGCUUUUGCGGUAUGGGCUGAGCUCGCGGCCUAUCAGCUUGUUGGUGGGGUAAUGGCCUACGAAGGGGUCGACGGGUAGCCGGCCUGAGAGGGUGUACGGGCACAUUGGGCCUGAGACACACGCCAGACAGCUACGAGGGGCAGCAGUGAGGGAGAUUGCACAAUGGGCGCAAGCGUGAUGCAGCGGCGCACCGUGGGAGAGGUUGGCCUUCGCUUUGUAGACGCCUUUCGCAACCGACGAUGCCGUUUGGUGACGGUAGGUUGUGAAGAAGCACCGGCUAACUACGUG
This 466-nucleotide ribosomal RNA is filed under the name uncultured bacterium. RNAcentral describes it as "partial 16S ribosomal RNA". It matches the Rfam family "Bacterial small subunit ribosomal RNA", at positions 28 to 507 of the family's 1533-position model. The record is from RNAcentral.